RNAcentral lists this ribosomal RNA (774 nucleotides) under uncultured Neocallimastigales. RNAcentral describes it as "partial large subunit ribosomal RNA". It matches the Rfam family "Eukaryotic large subunit ribosomal RNA", at positions 23 to 639 of the family's 3401-position model. The record is from RNAcentral. Lineage: Eukaryota; Fungi; Neocallimastigomycota; Neocallimastigomycetes; Neocallimastigales.
AGAGAGAGACAUGCGCGCAUAUCAAUAAGCGGAGGAAAAGAAACUAACUAGGAUUCCCUCAGUAACGGCGAGUGAAGCGGGAAGAGCUCAAAUUUGAAAUCUUCAAGGUUCUACCUUUACGAAUUGUAGUUUAAAGAAGUGUUUUCUGUUGGAGUUUUGGUAAAAGUUCUUUGGAAUAGGACAUCAUAGAGGGUGAGAAUCCCGUAUUUGACCAUUAUUUCCAGCUUUGUGAUACACUUUCAAAGAGUCGGAUUGUUUGGGAAUGCAGUCCAAAAUGGGUGGUAAAUUUCAUCUAAAGCUAAAUAUUGGCGAGAGACCGAUAGCGAACAAGUACCGUGAGGGAAAGAUGAAAAGAACUUUGAAAAGAGAGUUAAACAGUACGUGAAAUUGUCAAAAGGGAAGCGUUUGACACCAGUGUUGUUUUCUCGAAAAUCAAUUAAAAAAGGCAGGAUUUUGUGUUGUAUUGACUUUAUCAGCUUUCUGCACUCUUUUCUUGUCUUUUUUAAUGCACUUUUCGUUUAACAAGUCAACAUCAAUUUCUUUUGUUGUAAAAGGGUCAUUGGAAGGUGGCUUUCUUUUCGGAGAAAGUGUUUAUAGCCUUUGGCCUCUGCAAUCGGAGAGAUUGAGGUCUGCAGCGUAGAUCCUUCGGGGUUAGAUACAUCUGUGCUAAGUUAUAGCCUUUCAUAGACAACUUGUUGACUAUGAUCAGUCAUGUAGCUUACUCGCUUAUGCUAUUUUACCUACGCUUAGGAUGUUGAUGUGAUACUGCGAGCA